CCCCUACGGGAGGCAGCAGUGAGGAAUAUUGGUCAAUGGUCGGGAGACUGAACCAGCCAAGCCGCGUGAGGGAUGAAGGUACAGAGUAUCGUAAACCUCUUUUGUUAGAGAACAAAGGCGGGGACGUGUCCCCGGAUGAGUGUACCCGAAGAAAAAGCAUCGGCUAACUCCGUGCCAGCAGCCGCGGUAAUACGGAGGAUGCGAGCGUUAUCCGGAUUUAUUGGGUUUAAAGGGUGCGCAGGCGGAAGAUCAAGUCAGCGGUAAAAUACGGGGGCUCAACCUCCGCCCGCCGUUGAAACUGACGG
This 305-nucleotide ribosomal RNA is filed under the name uncultured bacterium. RNAcentral describes it as "bacterial SSU rRNA". It matches the Rfam family "Bacterial small subunit ribosomal RNA", at positions 336 to 639 of the family's 1533-position model. The record is from RNAcentral.